Molecule: ribosomal RNA, 492 nt
Filed under: uncultured bacterium
Lineage: Bacteria
Description: partial 16S ribosomal RNA
Rfam family: Bacterial small subunit ribosomal RNA
Source: RNAcentral
AGUGAACGCUGGCGGUAGGCCUAACACAUGCAAGUCGAACGGCAGCACAGUAAGAGCUUGCUCUUACGGGUGGCGAGUGGCGGACGGGUGAGGAAUACAUCGGAAUCUACUUUUUCGUGGGGGAUAACGUAGGGAAACUUACGCUAAUACCGCAUACGACCUACGGGUGAAAGCAGGGGAUCUUCGGACCUUGCGCGAUUGAAUGAGCCGAUGUCGGAUUAGCUAGUUGGCGGGGUAAAGGCCCACCAAGGCGACGAUCCGUAGCUGGUCCGAGGGGAUGAUCAGCCACACUGGAACUGAGACACGGUCCAGACUCCUACGGGAGGCAGCAGUGGGGAAUAUUGGACAAUGGGCGCAAGCCUGAUCCAGCCAUACCGCGUGGGUGAAGAAGGCCUUCGGGUUGUAAAGCCCUUUUGUUGGGAAAGAAAAGCAGCAGGUUAAUACCCCGCUGUUCUGACGGUACCCAAAGAAUAAGCACCGGCUAACUUCGUG